This 77-nucleotide transfer RNA is filed under the name Ceratocystis platani. RNAcentral describes it as "tRNA-Thr". It matches the Rfam family "tRNA". Rfam says of the family: Transfer RNA (tRNA) molecules are approximately 80 nucleotides in length. Their secondary structure includes four short double-helical elements and three loops (D, anti-codon, and T loops). Lineage: Eukaryota; Fungi; Ascomycota; Sordariomycetes; Microascales; Ceratocystidaceae. The record is from RNAcentral.
UNGCCUUGAUAGCUCAGUUGGCAGAGCGCGACACUAGUAAUGUCGAGGUCAGCGGUUCAAGUCCGCUUCGAGGCAGC